UACGAAGGGGGCUAGCGUUGCUCGGAAUCACUGGGCGUAAAGCGCACGUAGGCGGAUUGCUAAGUCAGGGGUGAAAUCCUGGAGCUCAACUCCAGAACUGCCUUUGAUACUGGCGAUCUCGAGUCCGGGAGAGGUGAGUGGAACUGCGAGUGUAGAGGUGAAAUUCGUAGAUAUUCGCAAGAACACCAGUGGCGAAGGCGGCUCACUGGCCCGGGUACUGACGCUGAGGUGCGAAAGCGUGGGGAGCAAACAGG
RNAcentral lists this ribosomal RNA (254 nucleotides) under uncultured bacterium. RNAcentral's name for it is "partial 16S ribosomal RNA". It matches the Rfam family "Bacterial small subunit ribosomal RNA", at positions 524 to 776 of the family's 1533-position model. The record is from RNAcentral.